AAAAUGUGGACGGACAUCCAUACCUCCAGUGGUAAUCGAACCCAUAAUCCCAGUGCGUGAUCCUCUACUGCGCCGCCACUGAUCACCUUUGUGCAUUACCUUGCCAUCUUAGGUGACCGUCUAGUUUGCCUACUGGUUAAACCAGCUGCCUUUGCAUUGUGCUCUCUAAUGAAGCUUUUCAUUUUUAAAAUUGAAUGGGGAUAGUCCAAGGAUCAUGUUACCACAUCCAGGCACUUGGUAUGGAAAUACAGUGCUACUACAGUGAGUGUAUGCUGUGCAUUAACUAGCAGCCAGUUGCUAAUUUGGUAAUAUACAGCCUUUGUGAAAACACCAAUGGAGUGCAGUUACAGAAAUAAAGGUAUAGAAUUAGGCAUAGGAUCAAGAAAAAAGAAAGAAUGGAGUGUGGAAGAAACAAAGAAAGAAUACAUGCUGCACUACAAAAUAAAAACUAACAUUUUCUAAUAAUAGUGUAUAACUGUUGUUGUGCAGGGCUGCAUAACAAAAUAUGCAAAGGCACUGAACAUUCAUCCUAUAUAUUAUACAUACACAGGGGUCAACAAAUGUUGACUCACUUCACCAAUCAGACAAAAAUCUUGCUUGUCAAACAUUUCCUUGAUGAACAGUUUUUGUUGGCAAACAACUAAUUACAAUUUGGAUUUGAGAUUAUCACAGCAGUGAGUCUGAAGAUGGCUGUCUUCUGGAUUGUUGCACUGUGUAGUCUGGUAGAAAUUUACCAGCAUUUCAGAGGUCCCUGCUCAUCACCCUGACGAUGGAGGCAGCAAGAAAUCUCUAAAACAGACUAAUUACAACUGACCAGCACAGUGGAAAGGCAAGACACUACUAUGGCCAGCUCUUAGCAUCUUACACAUGUUGAAACAGAAUUAAGAAAAACAACUGUCAAACUGUAUUUUACUCCAAUCACUUUUUCCCAAAUUCCAACAUUCACACAACUCAGUAUCAUAUUAGCAAAGGUUAUCAUACCAAUAGCAUUUACAACAAUGAAAAAAUAGUAGCUAAACUUUUUCUUCAUUCUUAUUGAUUAUCAUGUAUGAAGUAUAUCUGAAAACCUAAAAAAUUAUGAAUACUGUCAAUGGAGAGGGACUCUUAUGAAUAACAAUUAAUAACUAUAUAAUAAAGUAUUUAUUUAUAUUU
Molecule: long non-coding RNA, 1152 nt
Organism: Zootermopsis nevadensis
Lineage: Eukaryota; Metazoa; Arthropoda; Insecta; Blattodea; Termopsidae
Source: RefSeq, a predicted model, not a curated record